This 77-nucleotide transfer RNA is filed under the name Candidatus Hinthialibacteria bacterium OLB16. Its description in RNAcentral is "Omnitrophica bacterium OLB16 tRNA-Met". It matches the Rfam family "tRNA". Rfam says of the family: Transfer RNA (tRNA) molecules are approximately 80 nucleotides in length. Their secondary structure includes four short double-helical elements and three loops (D, anti-codon, and T loops). The record is from RNAcentral. RNAcentral also lists the same sequence under 4 other names. Lineage: Bacteria; Candidatus Hinthialibacterota.
GGCGGCGUAGCUCAGACGGUUAGAGCGGGGGUUUCAUAAGCCCUAGGUCAGUGGUUCGAGUCCACUCGCCGCUACCA